This 164-nucleotide small nuclear RNA is filed under the name Pogona vitticeps (central bearded dragon). RNAcentral's name for it is "U1 spliceosomal RNA (ENSPVIG00000015689.1)". It matches the Rfam family "U1 spliceosomal RNA". From Rfam's summary of the family: U1 is a small nuclear RNA (snRNA) component of the spliceosome (involved in pre-mRNA splicing). Its 5' end forms complementary base pairs with the 5' splice junction, thus defining the 5' donor site of an intron. There are significant differences in sequence and secondary structure between metazoan and yeast U1 snRNAs, the latter being much longer (568 nucleotides as compared to 164 nucleotides in human). The record is from Rfam by way of RNAcentral. Lineage: Eukaryota; Metazoa; Chordata; Lepidosauria; Squamata; Agamidae.
AUACUUACCCGUCAGGGGAGAUACCAUGAUCAUGAAAGUGGUUUUCCCAGGGUGAGGCUCAUCCAUUGCACUUUGGGUGUGCUGAUCCCUGUGAUUUCCCCAAAUGUGGGGAAAUUACCUGCAUAAUUUGUGGUAGUGGGGGACUGCGUUUGUGGUUUCCACUG